GACGAGGGAUCCUAGCGUUGUUCGGAAUCAUUGGGCGUAAAGCGGAUGUAGGUGGCUUUGUAAGUCAGGUGUGAAAGCCCCGGGCUCAACCCGGGAAGUGCAUUUGAUACUGCGAAGCUUGAGUGCUAGAGAGGUUACUAGAAUACCUGGUGUAGUGGUGAAAUACGUAGAUAUCAAGAGGAACACCUGCGGCGAAGGCGGGUUGCUGGGCUGACACUGACGCUGAAGCGCGAAAGCCAGGGGAGCGAACGGG
Molecule: ribosomal RNA, 253 nt
Filed under: uncultured prokaryote
Description: partial 16S ribosomal RNA
Rfam family: Bacterial small subunit ribosomal RNA
Source: RNAcentral